This 445-nucleotide ribosomal RNA is filed under the name uncultured bacterium. Its description in RNAcentral is "partial 16S ribosomal RNA". It matches the Rfam family "Bacterial small subunit ribosomal RNA", at positions 354 to 796 of the family's 1533-position model. The record is from RNAcentral.
GUAAGGAAUAUUGGACAAUGGACGCAAGUCUGAUCCAGCCAUGCCGCGUGAAGGAUUAGGGUCCUCUGGAUUGUAAACUUCUUUUAUAAGGGACGAAAAAAGGCUUUUCUAAGUCGUCUGACGGUACCUUAUGAAUAAGCACCGGCUAACUCCGUGCCAGCAGCCGCGGUAAUACGGAGGGUGCAAGCGUUAUCCGGAUUCACUGGGUUUAAAGGGUGCGUAGGCGGGCAGGUAAGUCAGUGGUGAAAUCCUAGAGCUUAACUCUAGAACUGCCAUUGAUACUAUCUGUCUUGAAUAUUGUGGAGGUAAGCGGAAUAUGUCAUGUAGCGGUGAAAUGCUUAGAUAUGACAUAGAACACCUAUUGCGAAGGCAGCUUACUACGCAUAUAUUGACGCUGAGGCACGAAGGCCAGGGGAGCGAAAGGGAUUAGAUACCCGAGUAGUCC